Molecule: long non-coding RNA, 1655 nt
Organism: Aphis gossypii (cotton aphid)
Lineage: Eukaryota; Metazoa; Arthropoda; Insecta; Hemiptera; Aphididae
Exons: 3
Source: RefSeq, a predicted model, not a curated record
ACGCAGUGAUCUACACUUCAAACCCCGCAGAAUCAUUCAAAGCACCGAGCCAUCUUCACAUCUCAUAAAUACGUCGACUAUAAUAAUUGGUUCAUCGUCGAAUCGAUGUACACAUUCUAAGAUGGCGGUGACAUGGAAAUAUGGCACAUGGAUAACUGUCAGAAAAUGAAUCUGAAGAACUUUUACCAGGAACCAAGUGUAAUAUAAUAUAACACAGAAAGGCGCAUGUAUUAUUCAAGCAGUAUGAUUUAUGUGUUUCAUACAUACUAACACGGAAAUAAAUACACGGACACACGACGCGUAUAAACUUAUCUGUGGUAACAAUCGUUGAUGACCGGAAAAACGGUUUUACCGACGUUGACAACGAUGUUUUUGUUCGCCCUGUGCCCUUUACCGGCCACGUCGUCCACCGACCCUAAUGCCUGUGUUAGUCCUCUUAAAAAAAAAAAAAACCUUUUCGAGACUAUGUGAAACUCGGAAGCUUUUCUGACAAUAAAACGGAAACGUGCAUUAAAUCAAGUCGAUUUAAGUCGCAUAAAAGAAGGCAAGGAGAUGAUGGUAGAGGGAAAAAAGGUUUACGAUGACAGGCAUGGGAUUUUAUUCGAGAAACCAGCUGAAUGUCUUCACGAGAUUUUCUCAAUUUUUUUAUUGUCCUGUGACUAUUAUUUAAUAACAUUGUAUUUAUGCAAUAACUAAACAAUGAGGUUAGUAUUUUCUAAUAAAAAAACUAUUAAUUACUCUUAUAUGCACACAAUACCGAACACAAUUUAUUGUAUUUUGUUACACAUUGUAUAAUACAAGUUUUAAAAGAAACAUUUAAUUAUCGUACUUUUAUUUUAGGUUAGGUAUUUAAUUUUAUAUGUUAUUAAAUCAUUUUAUUUUAUUUUACAUUUACCUACAUUGAAUACACAGAAGGUCUCACCGUCUAUGUUUACCUUUCAAUAAUUAUAUUUGUAAAUAAUUAUUUUAUUAUUGUUAUAUUAGAAAUUCACAAAUAUUAUUUUAGUUCUCAGUAGGUAUAGAGUUUGGAUUAAUAAAACUCAUGAUGUAAUGACGACAACUGUUUAAAUAUUCACGGUUUUCGUGUUUUUAAAAUCUUAAAAUGUCCCAUUUCAAAGUUAAUUUAUUUUAAUAUUUUAAAAGUAUUUUUUUUUACAGAUUUUCAUUAGGUAUUUACAUAGUUAUCAAAGUUUAAAAGUUUGUGCCGAGAUCAAGUAAAGGAGAGCACUAUAUAUUAAGAUAUAGUUGACCGAGAGUCCGAUGAGAUUUUUUUAAAUUUAUUAUAUUAUAUUAUAGCAUUAUAUACACUAAUUGAAUUGAUAAUUCUAUAAUUUAUGUUAAUUUUUUUUAAUUAAAAAUAAACAUUUAAUGUAAGCUUUCAUGAAGAAUCUUAACAAUCAUCAAGUUAAAGCAUUUCAAAAAGAAAUGAGUAAUAGUAGCUAAUGUUUAUUUUUUUUUUUUUUUUGUAAAAAUAGGUUGACAACUAGUUUAUGACUAUAUGAUUUCUCAAGGUAUACAAUUAUUACAGCACUAUAUACAACACCGAUUCAGAUUAGUAGAUAACGUGUACUUACGUCGACAUUAAGCCCGUAAAAUGGAAAUGUCUGCGUUCUGGGUAUCAUCCCGGGGGAAUACCUGUAGAAUUCGUGACUACC